Molecule: ribosomal RNA, 492 nt
Filed under: uncultured bacterium
Lineage: Bacteria
Description: partial 16S ribosomal RNA
Rfam family: Bacterial small subunit ribosomal RNA
Source: RNAcentral
AGUGAACGCUGGCGGCAUGCCUAACACAUGCAAGUCGAACGGCAACACAGUAAGAUCGUGCUCUUCCGGAGGGCGAGUCGGGUACGGGACAGGAGUACAUCGUGAUCUACAUUUUCGUGGAAGAUCAGGUAGCGAAACCUACGACCAUACCGCAUACGCUGUUGGGGGGAAAGCAUGGGAACUUCGGAGCUGUCGCGAUUGGAUUAGCCGAUGUCGGAGUAGCUAGUUGGCGGGGUAAAGGCCCACCAAGGCGACGAUCGGUAGCCGGUGUGAGAGGAGGAUCAGCCACACUGGAACUUGGACACGGACCAGACUCCUACGGGAGGCAGCAGUGGGGAAUAUUGGACAAUGGGCGCAAGCCUGAUACAGCCAUCCCGCGUGGGUGAAGAAGGCCUUCGGGUUGUAAAGCCCUUUUGUUGGGAAAGAAAAGCUGCAGGCUAAUACCACGCUGUAGUGACGGUACCGAAAGAAUAAGCACCGGCUAACUUCGUG